This 404-nucleotide ribosomal RNA is filed under the name Actinomycetes bacterium. RNAcentral's name for it is "Actinobacteria bacterium partial 16S ribosomal RNA". It matches the Rfam family "Bacterial small subunit ribosomal RNA", at positions 355 to 776 of the family's 1533-position model. Lineage: Bacteria; Bacillati; Actinomycetota; Actinomycetes. The record is from RNAcentral.
UGGGGAAUAUUGGACAAUGGGCGCAAGCCUGAUCCAGCCAUGCCGCGUGAGUGAUGAAGGCCCUAGGGUUGUAAAGCUCUUUCACCGGUGAAGAUAAUGACGGUAACCGGAGAAGAAGCCCCGGCUAACUUCGUGCCAGCAGCCGCGGUAAUACGAAGGGUGCUAGCGUUGUUCGGAUUUACUGGGCGUAAAGCGCACGUAGGCGGACUAUUAAGUCAGGGGUGAAAUCCCGGGGCUCAACCCCGGAACUGCCUUUGAUACUGGUAGUCUUGAGUUCGAGAGAGGUGAGUGGAAUUCCGAGUGUAGAGGUGAAAUUCGUAGAUAUUCGGAGGAACACCAGUGGCGAAGGCGGCUCACUGGCUCGAUACUGACGCUGAGGUGCGAAAGCGUGGGGAGCAAACAGG